RNAcentral lists this ribosomal RNA (495 nucleotides) under uncultured bacterium. RNAcentral describes it as "partial 16S ribosomal RNA". It matches the Rfam family "Bacterial small subunit ribosomal RNA", at positions 28 to 507 of the family's 1533-position model. The record is from RNAcentral.
GACGAACGCUGGCGGCGUGCCUAAUACAUGCAAGUAGAACGCUGAAGGAGGAGCUUGCUUCUCUGGAUGAGUUGCGAACGGGUGAGUAACGCGUAGGUAACCUGCCUGGUAGCGGGGGAUAACUAUUGGAAACGAUAGCUAAUACCGCAUAAUAGCAGUUGUUGCAUGACAACUGUUUGAAAGGUGCAAUUGCACCACUACCAGAUGGACCUGCGUUGUAUUAGCUAGUUGGUGGGGUAACGGCUCACCAAGGCGACGAUACAUAGCCGACCUGAGAGGGGGGUCAGCCACACUGGGACUGAGACACGGCCCAGACUCCUACGGGAGGCAGCAGUAGGGAAUCUUCGGCAAUGGAUGGAAGUCUGACCGAGCAACGCCGCGUGAGUGAAGAAGGUUUUCGGAUCGUAAAGCUCGGUUGUAAGAGAAGAACGAGUGUGAGAGUGGAAAGUUCACACUGUGACGGUAUCUUACCAGAAAGGGACGGCUAACUACGUG